CCCUUAGAUGUUCUGGGCUGCACGCGCGCUACACUGAAGCGUUCAACGAGUAUUUCACCUUGCCCGGGAGGGUUGGGUAAUCUUUUUAAAACGCUUCGUGAUGGGGAUAGAUUAUUGCAAUUAUUAAUCUUCAACGAGGAAUGCCUAGUAAGCGCAAGUCAUCAGCUUGCGUUGAUUACGUCCCUGCCCUUUGUACACACCGCCCGUCGCUCCUACCGAUUGAAUGGUCCGGUGAAGCGCUCGGACCGCGGCCUCUUGACGGUUCGCUGUCGAUUGGCUGUGGGAAGUUCGUUAAACCUUAUCAUUUAGAGGAAGGAGAAGUCGUAACA
This 329-nucleotide ribosomal RNA is filed under the name uncultured eukaryote. RNAcentral describes it as "partial 18S ribosomal RNA". It matches the Rfam family "Eukaryotic small subunit ribosomal RNA", at positions 1470 to 1796 of the family's 1831-position model. The record is from RNAcentral.